UGCAGUCGAGCGCGCCUUUCAGGGUGAGCGGCGGACGGGUUAGUAACGCGUGGGAAGAUAUCCCUUUGGUACGGAAUACCCUCUGGAAACGGAGAGUAAUACCGUAUGAGCCCUUCGGGGGAAAGAUUUAUCGCCCAAGGAGUAUCCCGCGUUAGAUUAGGUCGUUGGGGGGGUUAUGGCC
This 181-nucleotide ribosomal RNA is filed under the name Ruegeria sp. RNAcentral's name for it is "partial 16S ribosomal RNA". It matches the Rfam family "Bacterial small subunit ribosomal RNA", at positions 60 to 265 of the family's 1533-position model. The record is from RNAcentral. Lineage: Bacteria; Pseudomonadati; Pseudomonadota; Alphaproteobacteria; Rhodobacterales; Roseobacteraceae.